This 264-nucleotide ribosomal RNA is filed under the name uncultured bacterium. Its description in RNAcentral is "partial 16S ribosomal RNA". It matches the Rfam family "Bacterial small subunit ribosomal RNA", at positions 793 to 1055 of the family's 1533-position model. The record is from RNAcentral.
GUCCUAGCCCUAAACGGUGCACGUUUGCUGUAAGAGGAAUCGACCCCUUUGUGGCGAAGCUAACGCAUUAAACGUGCCGCCUGGGAAGUACGGCCGCAAGGUUAAACUCAAAGAAAUUGACGGGGCCUGCACAAGCGGUGGAGUAUGUGGCUUAAUUCGAUGCAACGCGAAGAACCUUACCUGGCCUUGACAUGCAAGUAGUAGAAGCCUGAAAGGGCGACGAGGUAGCAAUACCAGCUUGCACAGGUGCUGCAUGGCUGUCGU